GGGGGUUUAGCUCAGUGGUAGAGCACUUGCCUCGCAAGCACAAGGCCCUGGGUUCGGUCCCCAGCUCUG
RNAcentral lists this transfer RNA (69 nucleotides) under Rattus norvegicus (Norway rat). It matches the Rfam family "tRNA". From Rfam's summary of the family: Transfer RNA (tRNA) molecules are approximately 80 nucleotides in length. Their secondary structure includes four short double-helical elements and three loops (D, anti-codon, and T loops). The record is from Rfam by way of RNAcentral. Lineage: Eukaryota; Metazoa; Chordata; Mammalia; Rodentia; Muridae.